CCGCAUGGUUCAAAAGUGAAAGACGGUCUUGCUGUCACUUAUAGAUGGAUCCGCGCUGCAUUAGCUAGUUGGUAAGGUAACGGCUUACCAAGGCAACGAUGCAUAGCCGACCUGAGAGGGUGAUCGGCCACACUGGAACUGAGACACGGUCCAGACUCCUACGGGAGGCAGCAGUAGGGAAUCUUCCGCAAUGGGCGAAAGCCUGACGGAGCAACGCCGCGUGAGUGAUGAAGGUCUUCGGAUCGUAAAACUCUGUUAUUAGGGAAGAACAUAUGUGUAAGUAACUGUGCACAUCUUGACGGUACCUAAUCAGAAAGCCACGGCUAACUACGUGCCAGCAGCCGCGGUAAUACGUAGGUGGCAAGCGUUAUCCGGAAUUAUUGGGCGUAAAGCGCGCGUAGGCGGUUUUUUAAGUCUGAUGUGAAAGCCCACGGCUCAACCGUGGAGGGUCAUUGGAAACUGGAAAACUUGAGUGCAGAAGAGGAAAGUGGAAUUCCAUGUGUAGCGGUGAAAUGCGCAGAGAUAUGGAGGAACACCAGUGGCGAAGGCGACUUUCUGGUCUGUAACUGACGCUGAUGUGCGAAAGCGUGGGGAUCAAACAGGAUUAGAUACCCUGGUAGUCCACGCCGUAAACGAUGAGUGCUAAGUGUUAGGGGGUUUCCGCCCCUUAGUGCUGCAGCUAACGCAUUAAGCACUCCGCCUGGGGAGUACGACCGCAAGG
Molecule: ribosomal RNA, 721 nt
Filed under: Staphylococcus aureus
Lineage: Bacteria; Bacillati; Bacillota; Bacilli; Caryophanales; Staphylococcaceae
Description: bacterial SSU rRNA
Rfam family: Bacterial small subunit ribosomal RNA
Source: RNAcentral